Molecule: ribosomal RNA, 802 nt
Filed under: Arthrobacter sp. PDI4C
Lineage: Bacteria; Bacillati; Actinomycetota; Actinomycetes; Micrococcales; Micrococcaceae
Description: bacterial SSU rRNA
Rfam family: Bacterial small subunit ribosomal RNA
Source: RNAcentral
GAGCUCGUAGGCGGUUUGUCGCGUCUGCCGUGAAAGUCCGGGGCUCAACUCCGGAUCUGCGGUGGGUACGGGCAGACUAGAGUGAUGUAGGGGAGACUGGAAUUCCUGGUGUAGCGGUGAAAUGCGCAGAUAUCAGGAGGAACACCGAUGGCGAAGGCAGGUCUCUGGGCAUUAACUGACGCUGAGGAGCGAAAGCAUGGGGAGCGAACAGGAUUAGAUACCCUGGUAGUCCAUGCCGUAAACGUUGGGCACUAGGUGUGGGGGACAUUCCACGUUUUCCGCGCCGUAGCUAACGCAUUAAGUGCCCCGCCUGGGGAGUACGGCCGCAAGGCUAAAACUCAAAGGAAUUGACGGGGGCCCGCACAAGCGGCGGAGCAUGCGGAUUAAUUCGAUGCAACGCGAAGAACCUUACCAAGGCUUGACAUGAACUAGUAAGGCCUAGAGAUAGGUCCCCCACUUGUGGCUGGUUUACAGGUGGUGCAUGGUUGUCGUCAGCUCGUGUCGUGAGAUGUUGGGUUAAGUCCCGCAACGAGCGCAACCCUCGUUCUAUGUUGCCAGCGCGUUAUGGCGGGGACUCAUAGGAGACUGCCGGGGUCAACUCGGAGGAAGGUGGGGACGACGUCAAAUCAUCAUGCCCCUUAUGUCUUGGGCUUCACGCAUGCUACAAUGGCCGGUACAAAGGGUUGCGAUACUGUGAGGUGGAGCUAAUCCCAAAAAGCCGGUCUCAGUUCGGAUUGGGGUCUGCAACUCGACCCCAUGAAGUCGGAGUCGCUAGUAAUCGCAGAUCAGCAACGCUGCGGUG